AUUGGGGAUUUGGAAUCCCUUGGGAAUCCCCUGGGAAUCCAUUGGGAAUUUGGAAUCCCUAGGAAUCUCUUGGGAAUUCAUUGGGAAUCCGUUAGGGAUUGGGACUCUGUUGAGAACCUGCUGGGAAUCCCUUGGGAAUCCCUUGGGAAUCCAUUGGGAAUCCAUUGGGAAUCCAUUGGGAAUUGGGAGACCACUGGGAAUCCAUUGGGAAUCCAUUGGGGAUCCAUUGGGAAUCCAUUGGGAAUCCAUUGGGGAAUUGGGAGACCACUGGGAAUCCAGUGGGGUUCCGCUGGGAAGCUGCUGGGGAUCCAUUGGGAGUCCACUGGGAAUCCAUUUGGAAUCCCUUGGGAAUUUGGGAUCUGCUGGGAAUCCAUUGGGAAUCUGCUGCAGAUCCAUUGGGAAUCGGUUGAGAACCUGCUGGGAAUCCAUUGGGGAUUUGGAAUCCCUUGGGAAUCCCCUGGGAAUCCAUUGGGAAUUUGGAAUCCCUAGGAAUCUCUUGGGAAUUCAUUGGGAAUCCGUUAGGGAUUGGGACUCUGUUGAGAACCUGCUGGGAAUCCCUUGGGAAUCCCUUGGGAAUCCAUUGGGAAUCCAUUGGGAAUCCAUUGGGAAUCGGAAAUCCGUUGAGAAUCCAUUUGGGAUCCACUGGAAAUCCAUUGGGAAUCCAUUGGGAAUCUGUUUGGAACUUGCUGGGAAUCCAUUGGGGAUUGGGGAUCUGCUGAGAACCUGCUGGGAAUCCCUUGGGAAUCUGCUGGAAAUCCAUUGGGAAUCCCCUGGGAAUCUGUUGAUAAUUGGAAAUCUGUUGGGAAUCCAUUUGGAAUCUGCUGGGAAUUGGGAGUCCACUGGGAAUCCAUUGGGAAUCUACUGUGGAUCCAUUGGGAAUCUGCUGGUGAUCCAUUGGGAACCCAUUGGGAAUCCAUUGGGAAUGCACGGGGAAUUGGGAAUCCCCUGGGAAUCUGUUGAGAAUUGGGAAUCCAUUGAGAACCCGCGGGGAAUUCCUUGGGAAUCUGCUGGGAAUCCAUUGGGGAUUGGGAAUCCAUUGGGAACCUGCUGGGAAUCCGUUGGGAAUUGGAAAUCCAUUGGGAAUCCAUUUGGAAUCCAUUGGGAAUGAUGGGAAUCCAUUGGGAAUCC
Molecule: long non-coding RNA, 1128 nt
Filed under: Cyanistes caeruleus (blue tit)
Lineage: Eukaryota; Metazoa; Chordata; Aves; Passeriformes; Paridae
Description: lncRNA (ENSCCEG00000000805.1)
Source: RNAcentral